This 74-nucleotide transfer RNA is filed under the name Candidatus Woesearchaeota archaeon. RNAcentral describes it as "tRNA-Trp". It matches the Rfam family "tRNA". Rfam says of the family: Transfer RNA (tRNA) molecules are approximately 80 nucleotides in length. Their secondary structure includes four short double-helical elements and three loops (D, anti-codon, and T loops). Lineage: Archaea; Nanobdellati; Candidatus Woesearchaeota. The record is from RNAcentral.
GGGAGCAUAGUACAACCUGGCUAGUAUGGCCGCCUCCAGAGCGGCUGAUUUGGGUUCAAAUCCCAAUGCUCCCA